UUUUUUAGAAACCUGGGACGAACCCUGAUUAUAAGCAGCAAAACUGCAGACCCAACAUCGGAGUUUACAAGGUUUUCUACCAGCGAAAUAACACGAGGUUACUAGUACCCAAAUAAGUACUUUCUCGGACAGGACAGGGACGAGGUGCACACUGCUGUACUCAUAUCGGAUCACAAGUGCAACACAAAAGUUACCAUUGCAAACAUGUAGCACUCUUACAUUCCUAGUGAUUCAUUCACUCAGACCGGACACAACUGAAUCAACCGAAUCACACCGUCAAAAUGCAGCCACAUCACGCGCACACACACAGGUUUUCACUCACUGCCACACGAACACGCGCUCUCACACACACAACGAACUGGCCAUUAUUCUAGCUGAAGAUUAACUCCGAUCCAACACAGCACACAAGACACAGCAGAUGGAUCACACACGGGCAUGCCUGGGCGCCAUCUAAAGACAGCAAACCAGUAAGUAACGAUAGCCCCCUCCUCCUCUAAACACAUAGGAUUUAGAUGGAGAGAGGGAGACCUGGAAGAAAGGCUUAGCCUUCCCUUGCCGAUAAGACUUGCCUUCUUUCUUCUGCACUGCCGAAGCAUCCCUGCUCACAUGCCGGCCCCCGGCGAUGCUCCCGGCGGCCAGCAUGGCAAGCAUGCUUCUUCACUGCUUGCACUGACACGGUCACACCGCUGACAGUGUGACCGGUGCUUCACUCGCAACACCUUCUUCUUCGCCUCUCUUCUUCCUCUUCCUCGACAUGGUAUGCCAGGACCUCUGCUUGAUCAGUUAGAUGAGUUAGAACACUGAUCUGGCCAUGGCCAACCUCCCUUCUUUUUAUAAGCAUGCUCACGGUAACUGGAUCGCUGAAGCCUCUGCGAGCGAUUGGCCUGUGGGGUUUGUUAAUUGCCAGCCGCGGAUUCUUUGGCUGCGUUGUGGAUUCUCGCAUAUCUUCACCCACUUAUCUUUGAGCCACUGGAUUCUCGUGCUUUUGAUACUUUUUAUGGGUGGCCAUUGAGGCGUUAACACUUUGUUAAGCCUAACCUAGGGCGAUAGUCUCCAAUGACUGGCCUUUUAUGGUUAGUGCCAGAUCCUCUGAGGUACAACUACAAUCAGUGGACACCUGUCGAUGAUUAACACCGACAGUUUCAGAGAAAUACUUAUGAGUGUCAAGGAAUCUCAUACUACCCUCUACUCCAAUU
RNAcentral lists this long non-coding RNA (1196 nucleotides) under Panicum hallii. RNAcentral describes it as "long non-coding RNA (PHAL_LNC000070)". The record is from RNAcentral. Lineage: Eukaryota; Viridiplantae; Streptophyta; Magnoliopsida; Poales; Poaceae.